Molecule: long non-coding RNA, 1702 nt
Organism: Micropterus salmoides (largemouth bass)
Lineage: Eukaryota; Metazoa; Chordata; Actinopteri; Centrarchiformes; Centrarchidae
Exons: 3
Source: RefSeq, a predicted model, not a curated record
UAUAGAACAACGAUUAACAAUUAACAACAAAAAUGUGCCAGGUUUGUGCAUGAUAUGAAAUGAAAUAAUAUUUAAAAGUUACUAGUUACUUAUUACUUAUUACUGGGUGAUAAAAGUAAGUAGUUACUUUACUUGUUACGUUAUUAUAUUACUUUCACUACUUUAGCAACAAGUAAAGCUAGCUGUCCAUCAGGAAACACUCCAAUGUUCAUUACCCAGACUUGAGGCAAUGCAGCCGGAGGCCAUCAGAGAGAAAAACAGAAAUCUUGGGAAGGCUAUGUAAAAUGUUGGCUUCCUGACAUCCAAAGAUUGCGCAGCGUUGACUUGUAGCUUGCUAGCUCAGUGGAAUGACAGCUUGGUGUUGUGUUAAUGAAGUUAAAAUAACAAGAAACGGCACAGUGGACUGUGCUGAGGGCAGGAUCUGACUUGUGACAUCACAGCCUUACAGAAGGCCUGACGGCUUGUUUAAAGGCACAGUUCCUGAAUACAGGCUGUGUACAUUUCUCUGUGGAUCGAUUUUUAUUUCUUUAUGUUUUCACAGCUUUUAUAUAGCGCCUAGACUUGCUAUAUAAUGAAAACAACAUGGAAAUCUCACUUUCUACUAUAUGGGACCUUUAUUUAUGCAUAACAUGCAUUAUGCAUAAUUGCAUAACUCGCUUUUCAAGACAGCCUCAAGUGGCCAUUUUAUAAACUGCCAUUUUUGGCAGUGUUAGCUUCAUUUUUCCACCCUGGAUGGUGUCACUUUGUUUUAAAAGUGCUUUGAAUAAUUUCAGCUGAUUUUAAUUAGAAAAGUACUGAGCAGUGGAUGUCUUAAUGCCAUCAGAGAUCAGUCUUUGCAACCUUUAUGUAAGUAGCUUAAUUUAGCCUUCCUAUGACCCUAAAGUAGCCUCAUUGUGCUCCUCAAAAAUUCAUGAUAGGUGUCCAAAAGAUAAUAUUAAGCACAUGAACACUGGAGGCAGGAUAUCAAGUUGUUGAGAAAGGAACACAGAUGCUGCCAGGGGAUGGAGUUGAAGCAUAUACAUCAUCCACCAGCAUCCUCUGAUCACAUCUACUGCCCCCCAGACCAGCGGAAGCUCCCAGGCCAGAGGAAGUGCCGAGCUCCUUUGUGAACAAGGCCCUCCCGGAUUAAGCGUAACGCACCCUAAAUGCAGGCCCUUUCUCCUGGGGAUUAUCUAAGGGACAGAGGGGCACCCACUCCCACUGGGACCCUGUCACCCAAAUUCAACACACCAUCACCAGACCGCUCCCUAGCCCCCUUGCUACGAUACAGGACAUGAGGGAAGGCAUUGUGCCCCUAGAGACAAUGCUAAAGUGAUUAGCCUGAGUUAUUAAGGGAGCAUAGAAAAUGCAUUUUGACAUGGGGCUUCAAGAUGAUCGCAACUCCUUGGACAUGGUGAAAAUAGUAACAAGCAUCAGGUUGUUGUGUACACAUGUUUAGUCAUUCUGAAGUGUACAGAUGCAGGCGUGUAGCCAAGAGUAAACUAUUUCAGCUCAGUUGAUUUAUUUGCUAAAUAGUUUAAAUCCAUUGCUUUCAUUUUCACUUCACUGUAUGUCCUACAUGUGCGCGCCAUGUACGGUUCUUGAAUGUGUGAAGCUACUGUCAAAGUGAUUUACAGUCCAUAAGGAAAUAAAAGGGACGUUAAAGAGAAAAAAAGGCAUGAACUCUCAUUAAUACAUUUGAUUUAUAUUAGUGGUUGCAUGC